CCUACGGGGGACAGCAGUGAGGAAUAUUGGUCAAUGGGCGAGAGUCUGAACCAGCCAAGUAGCGUGAAGGAUGACUGCCCUAUGGGUUGUAAACUUCUUUUAUAUGGGAAUAAAAUGUUCCACGUGUGGGAUUUUGUAUGUACCAUAUGAAUAAGGAUCGGCUAACUCCGUGCCAGCAGCCGCGGUAAUACGGAGGAUCCGAGCGUUAUCCGGAUUUAUUGGGUUUAAAGGGAGCGUAGGUGGAUUGUUAAGUCAGUUGUGAAAGUUUGCGGCUCAACCGUAAAAUUGCAGUUGAAACUGGCAGUCUAGAGUACAGUAGAGGUGGGCGGAAUUCGUGGUGUAGCGGUGAAAUGCUUAGAUAUCACGAAGAACUCCGAUUGCGAAGGCAGCUCACUGGACUGCAACUGACACUGAGGCUCGAAAGUGUGGGUAUCAAACAGGAUUAGAUACCCUGGUAGUC
This 460-nucleotide ribosomal RNA is filed under the name uncultured bacterium. RNAcentral's name for it is "partial 16S ribosomal RNA". It matches the Rfam family "Bacterial small subunit ribosomal RNA", at positions 338 to 795 of the family's 1533-position model. The record is from RNAcentral.